Molecule: ribosomal RNA, 2902 nt
Filed under: Escherichia coli KTE56
Lineage: Bacteria; Pseudomonadati; Pseudomonadota; Gammaproteobacteria; Enterobacterales; Enterobacteriaceae
Description: bacterial LSU rRNA
Rfam family: Bacterial large subunit ribosomal RNA
Source: RNAcentral
UUAAGCGACUAAGCGUACACGGUGGAUGCCCUGGCAGUCAGAGGCGAUGAAGGACGUGCUAAUCUGCGAUAAGCGUCGGUAAGGUGAUAUGAACCGUUAUAACCGGCGAUUUCCGAAUGGGGAAACCCAGUGUGUUUCGACACACUAUCAUUAACUGAAUCCAUAGGUUAAUGAGGCGAACCGGGGGAACUGAAACAUCUAAGUACCCCGAGGAAAAGAAAUCAACCGAGAUUCCCCCAGUAGCGGCGAGCGAACGGGGAGCAGCCCAGAGCCUGAAUCAGUGUGUGUGUUAGUGGAAGCGUCUGGAAAGGCGCGCGAUACAGGGUGACAGCCCCGUACACAAAAAUGCACAUAUUGUGAGCUCGAUGAGUAGGGCGGGACACGUGGUAUCCUGUCUGAAUAUGGGGGGACCAUCCUCCAAGGCUAAAUACUCCUGACUGACCGAUAGUGAACCAGUACCGUGAGGGAAAGGCGAAAAGAACCCCGGCGAGGGGAGUGAAAAAGAACCUGAAACCGUGUACGUACAAGCAGUGGGAGCACGCUUAGGCGUGUGACUGCGUACCUUUUGUAUAAUGGGUCAGCGACUUAUAUUCUGUAGCAAGGUUAACCGAAUAGGGGAGCCGAAGGGAAACCGAGUCUUAACUGGGCGUUAAGUUGCAGGGUAUAGACCCGAAACCCGGUGAUCUAGCCAUGGGCAGGUUGAAGGUUGGGUAACACUAACUGGAGGACCGAACCGACUAAUGUUGAAAAAUUAGCGGAUGACUUGUGGCUGGGGGUGAAAGGCCAAUCAAACCGGGAGAUAGCUGGUUCUCCCCGAAAGCUAUUUAGGUAGCGCCUCGUGAAUUCAUCUCCGGGGGUAGAGCACUGUUUCGGCAAGGGGGUCAUCCCGACUUACCAACCCGAUGCAAACUGCGAAUACCGGAGAAUGUUAUCACGGGAGACACACGGCGGGUGCUAACGUCCGUCGUGAAGAGGGAAACAACCCAGACCGCCAGCUAAGGUCCCAAAGUCAUGGUUAAGUGGGAAACGAUGUGGGAAGGCCCAGACAGCCAGGAUGUUGGCUUAGAAGCAGCCAUCAUUUAAAGAAAGCGUAAUAGCUCACUGGUCGAGUCGGCCUGCGCGGAAGAUGUAACGGGGCUAAACCAUGCACCGAAGCUGCGGCAGCGACGCUGAUGCGUUGUUGGGUAGGGGAGCGUUCUGUAAGCCUGUGAAGGUGUGCUGUGAGGCAUGCUGGAGGUAUCAGAAGUGCGAAUGCUGACAUAAGUAACGAUAAAGCGGGUGAAAAGCCCGCUCGCCGGAAGACCAAGGGUUCCUGUCCAACGUUAAUCGGGGCAGGGUGAGUCGACCCCUAAGGCGAGGCCGAAAGGCGUAGUCGAUGGGAAACAGGUUAAUAUUCCUGUACUUGGUGUUACUGCGAAGGGGGGACGGAGAAGGCUAUGUUGGCCGGGCGACGGUUGUCCCGGUUUAAGCGUGUAGGCUGGUUUUCCAGGCAAAUCCGGAAAAUCAAGGCUGAGGCGUGAUGACGAGGCACUACGGUGCUGAAGCAACAAAUGCCCUGCUUCCAGGAAAAGCCUCUAAGCAUCAGGUAACAUCAAAUCGUACCCCAAACCGACACAGGUGGUCAGGUAGAGAAUACCAAGGCGCUUGAGAGAACUCGGGUGAAGGAACUAGGCAAAAUGGUGCCGUAACUUCGGGAGAAGGCACGCUGAUAUGUAGGUGAAGUCCCUUGCGGAUGGAGCUGAAAUCAGUCGAAGAUACCAGCUGGCUGCAACUGUUUAUUAAAAACACAGCACUGUGCAAACACGAAAGUGGACGUAUACGGUGUGACGCCUGCCCGGUGCCGGAAGGUUAAUUGAUGGGGUUAGCGCAAGCGAAGCUCUUGAUCGAAGCCCCGGUAAACGGCGGCCGUAACUAUAACGGUCCUAAGGUAGCGAAAUUCCUUGUCGGGUAAGUUCCGACCUGCACGAAUGGCGUAAUGAUGGCCAGGCUGUCUCCACCCGAGACUCAGUGAAAUUGAACUCGCUGUGAAGAUGCAGUGUACCCGCGGCAAGACGGAAAGACCCCGUGAACCUUUACUAUAGCUUGACACUGAACAUUGAGCCUUGAUGUGUAGGAUAGGUGGGAGGCUUUGAAGUGUGGACGCCAGUCUGCAUGGAGCCGACCUUGAAAUACCACCCUUUAAUGUUUGAUGUUCUAACGUUGACCCGUAAUCCGGGUUGCGGACAGUGUCUGGUGGGUAGUUUGACUGGGGCGGUCUCCUCCUAAAGAGUAACGGAGGAGCACGAAGGUUGGCUAAUCCUGGUCGGACAUCAGGAGGUUAGUGCAAUGGCAUAAGCCAGCUUGACUGCGAGCGUGACGGCGCGAGCAGGUGCGAAAGCAGGUCAUAGUGAUCCGGUGGUUCUGAAUGGAAGGGCCAUCGCUCAACGGAUAAAAGGUACUCCGGGGAUAACAGGCUGAUACCGCCCAAGAGUUCAUAUCGACGGCGGUGUUUGGCACCUCGAUGUCGGCUCAUCACAUCCUGGGGCUGAAGUAGGUCCCAAGGGUAUGGCUGUUCGCCAUUUAAAGUGGUACGCGAGCUGGGUUUAGAACGUCGUGAGACAGUUCGGUCCCUAUCUGCCGUGGGCGCUGGAGAACUGAGGGGGGCUGCUCCUAGUACGAGAGGACCGGAGUGGACGCAUCACUGGUGUUCGGGUUGUCAUGCCAAUGGCACUGCCCGGUAGCUAAAUGCGGAAGAGAUAAGUGCUGAAAGCAUCUAAGCACGAAACUUGCCCCGAGAUGAGUUCUCCCUGACCCCUUAAGAGUCCUGAAGGAACGUUGAAGACGACGACGUUGAUAGGCCGGGUGUGUAAGCGCAGCGAUGCGUUGAGCUAACCGGUACUAAUGAACCGUGAGGCUUAACCUU